UGGGAAGAUCGGUGGAUGUAGAGCCUUAAUGGGAAAUCGCGUUGGGAUCCGAGUCUGAUAGGGAGGGAUCAUGGGAAUGAGGUGUGCCGGGUUAGGAGGUGUUGGUGAGGGAAGGGCAGGUGCAAGUCAAAGGGGAAGUGAGGAGUCGUGGUCCUCAUCAAUAUUUCGUCGUCGUCGUGGAAGCUUUUGAAUUCGGAGUCAGCCGCACCUCCAUUGCUACCUCAACAAGCUUCCGCUUUUGGGUUCGACCUCGAUCCGCACCAAGCUUCAAAAUUUCGGUUCUGUCAGCCCAAUAUCGCUCUAAAGCACGCAACAAAUGCGCCCAUUGUUCCGGUCGUACGAGCGUAGAGUUCUUCUGGUUAGGUCCCAGACUCCAAAUUUUACAAAGUCAAAGCGAUUUUGAGGUGAGUGAUUUGAUCAAUUGUAGUCUAUAUGUAUUUGCUCCCACAUAUUUUACUGCCAUUCAAGAAGUCUCCAGUCAUCGAGAAGGCAGAGGUUGGUCUUUUUCUUUCAUGGCAUUAUAGUUGUGGAUUGGUUUGCACUUGGGAUCAAAUUCUGGCUCUAAAAAUAUUAUAUCACUUGAUUUUUAAUUAUUGAGAACAAAUUUGGCCUCAACACGGGCUACAAAUUUGGCCUCAACACAGGCUAUUUUCUUUUAUCCCUUUUAAGUAAAUAUUCAUGAAUCUUUCACAGUGGGUAAAUCAUUUAUUUUCUUGCUAGGCGAGAUACUAGAAGGAUUUGGUUGCUUACAUGGUGCUUAUAUCUGUAUGAGUCGAUUGUAGAACUAAAUUUUAGAAGCAUGUUUUAGCUCUGCCCUUAGUUUAAUUGGUAUCUUGGACGUGCAUGUAAAACCAGCCAAAUAAUUUAUUACUGAUGGUAUCACUAUUUGGUUUGAUUUUGAAAUUUUGAAUUUAUGUUUUUUUUUUAAAUAUUUAACCUAUUGGGCACAAUAACAAAAUUGUGCAAACAUGGCUUGGAAGAGUCAUUUGACACAGGUGUCAGAACAGAGGCACAAAUACCCCAGAUUGGUGCUUAACUGUUUAAGCACCAAAAGUCAUAUUGUGCCCUUUCAUCAAAGGUGACACCCACAGAGGGCACAUACAAUAUAAUAGUAGCUGCACUGUUGCCAUUGGUCUAUGGGCACAUAUGUUGGUGCCCUUUGGCCUCAAAGGGCACAAAUAAUUUAUAGUGCGCAGUGCCCAUAUUUUUUGUAGUGUGAAAUGCGAGUCGAAUACAUUGAGAAGGGAACGUGAGGACUGGCUCGAUACCAAUGAUAAAACCCCAG
Molecule: long non-coding RNA, 1285 nt
Organism: Malus domestica (apple)
Lineage: Eukaryota; Viridiplantae; Streptophyta; Magnoliopsida; Rosales; Rosaceae
Source: RefSeq, a predicted model, not a curated record